CAAUAGCGUAUAUUUAAGUUGUUGCAGUUAAAAAGCUCGUAGUUGGAUUUUGGGUCGGGGGCACCGGUCCGCCGUUCCGGUGUGCACUGGUGGCCCCUUCCUUUCUGCCGGGGACGUGCGUCGCACUUAAUUGGGUGGCGUUCGGAGUCGGCGUUGUUACUUUGAAAAAAUUAGAGUGUUCAAAGCAAGCCAUCGCUCUGAAUACAUUAGCAUGGAAUAACAUGAUAGGACUCUGGUCUUAUUUUGUUGGUUUCCGAGACUGGAGUAAUGAUUAAGAGAGACAGUCGGGGGCAUCCGUAUUUCAUUGUCAGAGGUGAAAUUCUUGGAUUUAUGAAAGACGAACUUCUGCGAAAGCAUUUGCCAAGGAUGUUUUCAUUAA
RNAcentral lists this ribosomal RNA (379 nucleotides) under uncultured eukaryote. RNAcentral's name for it is "partial 18S ribosomal RNA". It matches the Rfam family "Eukaryotic small subunit ribosomal RNA", at positions 592 to 976 of the family's 1831-position model. The record is from RNAcentral.